GACGAACGCUGGCGGCGUGCUUAACACAUGCAAGUCGAACGGAAAGGCCCUGCUUGCAGGGUACUCGAGUGUCGAACGGGUGUGUAACACGUGUGUGUUCUGCCCUGCACUUCGUGUUAUGCCUUUGAAACUCUGUCUAAUACCUGAUAGGAGCCCUUUUUAGUGUUUUUGUUGGUAAGUUUUUUGGGUGUAGGAUGAGCUCGCUGCCUAUCUGCUUGUUGGUGGGGUAAUGGCCUACCAAGGCGGCGUCGGGUAGCCGGCCUGAGAGGGUGGACGGCCACAAUGGGACUGAGAUACGGCCCAGACACCUACGGGAGGGAGGAGUGGGGAAAAUUGCACAAUGGGGGCAAGCCUGAUGCAGCGAAGCCGGGUGGGGGAUGACGGCCUUAGGGUUGUAAAAUCAUUUCGCUAGGGACGAAGCUUUUUGUGACGGUACCUAGAAAAGAAGCACCGGCUAACUACGUG
This 465-nucleotide ribosomal RNA is filed under the name uncultured bacterium. RNAcentral's name for it is "partial 16S ribosomal RNA". It matches the Rfam family "Bacterial small subunit ribosomal RNA", at positions 28 to 507 of the family's 1533-position model. The record is from RNAcentral.